This 99-nucleotide non-coding RNA is filed under the name Planctomycetota bacterium. RNAcentral's name for it is "Planctomycetes bacterium c-di-GMP sequence". It matches the Rfam family "c-di-GMP-I riboswitch aptamer". Rfam says of the family: GEMM was predicted in a large-scale screen for bacterial structured RNA regulatory elements. Genes associated with GEMM are involved in a diverse array of functions, including chemotaxis regulation, signal transduction, secretion and chitin. Lineage: Bacteria; Pseudomonadati; Planctomycetota. The record is from RNAcentral.
CCCCGAUAAAGGCAAACUCCGAGAGAUCGGAUGACGCAAAGCUAUAGGGUCCUAAUCCUGCGGAUAUGGAUAUGUAGGAAAGGAUAGCCAGUUACCGAA